Phyllostomus discolor (pale spear-nosed bat) is the source of this 545-nucleotide long non-coding RNA. RefSeq lists it as uncharacterized. NCBI's taxonomy places the organism in Eukaryota, Metazoa, Chordata, Mammalia, Chiroptera, Phyllostomidae. The transcript is spliced from 3 exons. The record is from RefSeq and is a predicted model, not a curated record.
GAUGCUGGCGGCUCCUCGUCGGAGUCGGCCCCAGAGCCAGAUGCAGAGGGCCUGGGCACACCCCCCACGGAUCCUCUGGAUUCCAUUCCCGUUCGGCUCAGCCCGGGGCCAGGCCAGGGCAGGCUCCCGAGAGAAGAGGCCAAGUGAGCACACGAGGAUCCUCGCACGAGUGCCUGGAAGAGCGCCCCACCCGGAAAACGUCCCCCGUACGACACUCUUGACUCCGACGCUGCAGCUGAAACUCGGGCCUCCUUUGGAAACGCCAACAAUGGUUUGGCCAAGAACUGAAAGUCCAAGACUUUGUUUACAAAUUUCCGAAGACAGUAACCUCACAGCUGUUGGUAGUUAUGUGGUUACGAGUAUCGUUUCUGAACGUACGGGUUGCGCACAGGACAAUUUGUUGUUUGGGUUGAGGAAACGGAGAGAUUUACAGUGAGCUCCGUCUCAAAUGUUUAGAGACAACUGGCCAAGGAAGGACGAAUUAAUGCUAGGGGAGCCACUUUCAGGACCCCACCCAAAGGAAAGUGAGAACGCCUCCCGCAGGG